Molecule: long non-coding RNA, 591 nt
Organism: Ictalurus punctatus (channel catfish)
Lineage: Eukaryota; Metazoa; Chordata; Actinopteri; Siluriformes; Ictaluridae
Source: Ensembl
GUGGGAGAAUUCUUCUCAGAUGGGAUUCCAAUCAAUUAUAUUCACACCUCUGCGAAAAUUUAGCCAAUUCUUUAUGAAACCUGACAUAAAUCAUAUAUUGAAUAUAUUGAAUAUUUACGAAUGCUUAUUCCAGUAAGUGUCACCCGAGAUAAAGGCUUUAAUUUUGAUGUAAUGUUGACAUUACCUCACCGGAGUCAGGUGACAAUAAUUUGUGUGACAUAAGGUUGACACAGCUCCAGGGUCUCCGGUUCAAACCUAAGCUUGGGUUAUACGACGAGAUGUGCAUACACAGGAUUAUGGAUUGGCACCCUGUCCAGGGUGUACCCCGCCUUGUGCCCGAUGCUCCCUGGGAUAGGCUCCAUGUUCCCCCGUGACCCUGAAGAAGGAUAAGCAGUAUAGAAGAUGGAUGGAUGGAUACACAGGAUUGUUGAUGUUUUCUUUUAUCAUACUUGCACAAUAGCCUUUAAGAAGAACAAAAGAAGAAAAUACUGAAAUUAUUCUCAUGCCUGGAUCAGGAAGCUGUCGCAAGGUUGUGAUGGACUUUAAGAGGAGACGUGAGGAAUUAAUGAAGCUCUGGAAGGUGUGUGUAGG